This 76-nucleotide transfer RNA is filed under the name Deltaproteobacteria bacterium CG_4_8_14_3_um_filter_45_9. RNAcentral describes it as "tRNA-Gly". It matches the Rfam family "tRNA". From Rfam's summary of the family: Transfer RNA (tRNA) molecules are approximately 80 nucleotides in length. Their secondary structure includes four short double-helical elements and three loops (D, anti-codon, and T loops). Lineage: Bacteria; Deltaproteobacteria. The record is from RNAcentral.
GCGGGCAUAGCUCAGUUGGUAGAGCAUCGGCUUCCCAAGCCGGAGGUCGCGGGUUCGACCCCCGCUGCCCGCUCCA